This 497-nucleotide ribosomal RNA is filed under the name uncultured bacterium. RNAcentral's name for it is "partial 16S ribosomal RNA". It matches the Rfam family "Bacterial small subunit ribosomal RNA", at positions 28 to 507 of the family's 1533-position model. The record is from RNAcentral.
GAUGAACGCUGGCGGCGUGCCUAAUACAUGCAAGUCGAGCGAACGGACGAGAAGCUUGCUCCUCUGACGUUAGCGGCGGACGGGUGAGUAACACGUGGAUAACCUACCUAUAAGACUGGGAUAACUUCGGGAAACCGUAGCUAAUACCGGAUAAUAUUUUGAACCGCAUGGUUCAAUAGUGAAAGACGGUCUUGCUGUCACUUAUAGAUGGAUCCGCGCUGCAUUAGCUAGUUGGUAAGGUAACGGCUUACCAAGGCAACGAUGCAUAGCCGACCUGAGAGGGUGAUCGGCCACACUGGAACUGAGACACGGUCCAGACUCCUACGGGAGGCAGCAGUAGGGAAUCUUCCGCAAUGGGCGAAAGCCUGACGGAGCAACGCCGCGUGAGUGAUGAAGGUCUUCGGAUCGUAAAACUCUGUUAUUAGGGAAGAACAAAUGUGUAAGUAACUAUGCACAUCUUGACGGUACCUAAUCAGAAAGCCACGGCUAACUACGUG